This 497-nucleotide ribosomal RNA is filed under the name uncultured bacterium. RNAcentral describes it as "partial 16S ribosomal RNA". It matches the Rfam family "Bacterial small subunit ribosomal RNA", at positions 28 to 507 of the family's 1533-position model. The record is from RNAcentral.
GAUGAACGCUGGCGGCGUGCCUAAUACAUGCAAGUCGAGCGAACGGACGAGAAGCUUGCUUCUCUGAUGUUAGCGGCGGACGGGUGAGUAACACGUGGAUAACCUACCUAUAAGACUGGGAUAACUUCGGGAAACCGGAGCUAAUACCGGAUAAUAUUUUGAACCGCAUGGUUCAAUAGUGAAAGACGGUUUUGCUGUCACUUAUAGAUGGAUCCUCGCUGCAUUAGCUAGUUGGUAAGGUAACGGCUUACCAAGGCAACGAUGCAUAGCCGACCUGAGAGGGUGAUAGGCCACACUGGAACUGAGACACGGUACAGACUCCUACGGGAGGCAGAAGUAGGGAAUCUUCCGCAAUGGGCGAAAGCAUGACGGAGCAACGCCGCGUGAGUGAUGAAGGUCUUCGGAUAGUAAAACUCUGUUAUUAGGGAAGAACAAAUGUGUAAGUAACUAUGCACAUCUUGACGGUACCUAAUCAGAAAGCCACGGCUAACUACGUG